This 1119-nucleotide long non-coding RNA is filed under the name Equus caballus (horse). RNAcentral describes it as "lncRNA (ENSECAG00000041509.2)". The record is from RNAcentral. Lineage: Eukaryota; Metazoa; Chordata; Mammalia; Perissodactyla; Equidae.
UAUAAAAUAAAUAAAAGCCACAAAGCCACGUUUAUUGACUCGCCAGGCGAGGAAACACGCACAAGUGAAGAAAUUCACUGAAUAGUCAGCCGAGGAGGGAGAGUCGGGGAUGUUUAAUCUUGGAGAGGGGCUCACAAUGAUUAAGGCUCGAAAACCAGCACUCCAGAAAUUAAUCUAAAGGUCUGUACCUGGUUGGUUCAAACAAAUCCAUCGUUCAUUGUUGAGGAAAGAGUCUUUAGUUGAGUCCAGUGGGGGUUUGGCGUUUGGGUCCACUUCAGCUGCUUAGAAUCAGUUAUGAUGAAACACAAUAUUUAAUUGUGAUAUCUCCUAGGGCAUGUGUUGCUAUAAGUGGAAAUUUUUCCUGUUUCAAUUCCCGCCUGCUCCUCCUCAAUGGAAGCUCCGUAUAUGACACGUAUGAGCAUAAGAAUGGUGUCAAACCUGCCCAGGAUACCAGAAAUUUCUGUGAAUUUGGAUGAUGAGGAUUAACCAGAGUGUUUCUCUUCACCCCACAACACCUGCUCCUGAAAAGGAAGCAUUUGUUCCUUGCAUGCAAAUCAUUUUGUAUUAAAGAGGCAUCUAAUGAGCAUCGGAUGAAAGUCCCCUGGAGCAGAAUGAACUUCUAGAAGCUUCAUUUUGAUUCCUCGAGCAGAUGAAAAAACACAAACAUGGUUGGAAUUAUAUGACUUCUCUUUGAAGGCUCUGAAGACUUUGAUGUGAAUCUAUCUUCAUUUAACUGUUUACAAAGUUCUUCUGAUAAUGGCAUGAAAAUAUUAAUAGCUAUCAUUUCACUUUUCAUAAAUAAAUAAGAAAAUUUGGGAUUGAAAAUGAGCAAAAUUAACUUGGAAUAAUAGUUAUUUGAUCUAAACGAAAAGUCAUGACAGAGUGAGGACCUUCAGCAACUGCAGGUCUUAAAUCCUCGUCCUCGGGCGCGGUCUUCUUAAAAUAACUAUUAAUUUUGAAGUAGAUGCUGAUGCUUCUUCAUGAGAUUUGUAUCUUCUGGUUUUCGUGUAGUCGGUAAUAUUGCUAUGAACCCCAUAGUAAGUGGUAAAUAUUGACAAACUUUUUGGGGCAACUUAAGCAUUCAUAAUCAACUUUCUUAAGAAGUAGAACUUUAUUACA